Molecule: long non-coding RNA, 704 nt
Organism: Poecile atricapillus (Black-capped chickadee)
Lineage: Eukaryota; Metazoa; Chordata; Aves; Passeriformes; Paridae
Exons: 3
Source: RefSeq, a predicted model, not a curated record
CAUUGGACAUGGCUGGGCGCGGAGCUGCGAGAGGCAAUGCACAAGUCUCAUCGCGUUUGAAGGAGUUGCGGCCAGGGCAAACCUCCCCAACGUGCCCUUCGAGGAAGGGGGCUCCCACCGCCUUUCAUUAUUUGCCAAGAAACGUAAGCCCAGAGGUCGUUCCUCCCAUUUCCAGCAUGUUGAGAACAGCAGUGGGAGAUUUAUCCUUGAGAAGGGGAGGAUUCAGAGGGAUCUAAAGCAGCUGUGCAGUACCUGUGAGGAGGUGUUUGAGAAGACAGCCAGACCCUUCAGAGCAGUGUAUGGUGAGAGGAGACACAACAGGUAUGAGGAGCCAGGUGAAACCCAGCAGUUUUUAGGAUCUGUGCUGGCAGAGAAGAGCGAGCAGAUGGUGCCCUAAAAUCCCCGCGCCCCGAAGAGUGAGCUAGUGAUCAUUUGUGAAGCUCUUGAGAUCUAUUUUUUUCCCAGACCCUGCUGAGCCUGGCGAGGACUAUAAUUGCAGCCUGGACUGGCUGGAGAGGGCAAUACCCGGAUGGGCUCCUCGCCUUUCAGGCUGUAAUUGGGCCCUGGCGAUACAAAGCACAAAAGCUCCUUCCUUCCUGUUUUGCCGGGCUCCCUCCGUGAAACCUUCCCCUGCCUGUGCUGGAAAAUAUGUAAAUACCAGGGCAUGGGAGAAUUGCUCCCUCGUGCCUGCGUCACGUCUGAAA